GCUGAGGUGCGAGGGUAUUCAUAGUCUGACCAUAAACUACAGUUAGAGGGAGAGUUGACAGCAUGUGUAAAAUUAACCGCAGUUACGACCUAACAGGAUUUCAAUGUUCUGACCUCUUUCUCAGCAUGUCAUGUGAGGUCAAUGUUUGAGGGUCGGUAACUUGUCAACUAAGAUUAUCCACUCAGAAUUAGAUGACAAGCAAUGCCGAUCAGUCUACUGCUAUGUGUUCAUAUAUCAUCAACCGAUGCAGUUGGACCAGCACGUGCACCGGAUGUAGACGUUGCAAGAAAGACGAAGCCAGGCAGUCGGGUGAUGGAGCGAUGGAGGAAGCGUUCUCAGCACGUGUAUCACCGCAGUUCUCUGGGUGGGCGGCACAUCACCAUGAUGUUCCUCUAAGGAAAUGAAUCUGUUCUCACUGCUGGCGGUGUUCGGGUCACACAGAACACAAAUUUAUGGUCGAGAUAGAAGUGAGCGCAAGU
Molecule: long non-coding RNA, 479 nt
Organism: Pomacea canaliculata
Lineage: Eukaryota; Metazoa; Mollusca; Gastropoda; Architaenioglossa; Ampullariidae
Exons: 3
Source: RefSeq, a predicted model, not a curated record